This 492-nucleotide ribosomal RNA is filed under the name uncultured bacterium. RNAcentral's name for it is "partial 16S ribosomal RNA". It matches the Rfam family "Bacterial small subunit ribosomal RNA", at positions 29 to 507 of the family's 1533-position model. The record is from RNAcentral.
AGUGAACGCUGGCGGUAGGCCUAACACAUGCAAGUCGAACGGCAGCACAGUAAGAGCUUGCUCUUACGGGUGGCGAGUGGCGGACAGGUGAGGAAUACAUCGGAAUCUACUUUUUCGUGGGGGAUAACGUAGGGAAACUUACGCUAAUACCGCAUACGACCUACGGGUGAAAGCCGGGGAUCUUCGGACCUUGCGCGAUUGAAUGAGCCGGUGUCGGAUUAGCUAGUUGGCGGGGUAAAGGCCCACCAAGGCGACGAUCCGUAGCUGGUCUGAGAGGAUGAUCAGCCACACUGGAACUGAGACGCGGUCCAGACUCCUACGGGAGGCAGCAGUGGGGAAUAUUAGACAAUGGGCGCGAGCCUGAUCCAGCCAUACCGCGUGGGUGAAGAGAGCCUUCGGGUUGUAGAUCUCUUCUGUUGGGAAAGAAAAACAGCAGGUGAAUACCCCGCUGUACUGACGGUACCCAAAGAAUAAGCACCGGCUAACUUCGUG